This 176-nucleotide long non-coding RNA is filed under the name Prolemur simus (greater bamboo lemur). Its description in RNAcentral is "Deleted in lymphocytic leukemia 1 conserved region 1 (ENSPSMG00000016390.1)". It matches the Rfam family "Deleted in lymphocytic leukemia 1 conserved region 1". The record is from RNAcentral. Lineage: Eukaryota; Metazoa; Chordata; Mammalia; Primates; Lemuridae.
UGUGGGCCCAAGGGUGCACGGACACCUAACAGUCGCUAGGCAUUUAGUAUACUUUUGAAGGUGAACAAAUAAGGGCCUCGCUGCGGCGAAAAGGAAAACGUCUUACAGCCAGUGUCUUAAGUUUCCAACAACGGAAUGUGUCUGUGAGACACGUGUACUUAAAACAGCCCCGCCAG